This 349-nucleotide ribosomal RNA is filed under the name uncultured bacterium. RNAcentral describes it as "partial 16S ribosomal RNA". It matches the Rfam family "Bacterial small subunit ribosomal RNA", at positions 338 to 698 of the family's 1533-position model. The record is from RNAcentral.
CCUACGGGAGGCUGCAGUCGAGAAUCAUUCUCAAUGGGGGAAACCCUGAUGGUGCGACGCCGCGUGGGGGAAUGAAGGUCUUCGGAUUGUAAACCCCUGUUAUGUGGGAGCAAAUUAAAAAGCUAGUACCACAAGAGGAAGAGACGGCUAACUCUGUGCCAGCAGCCGCGGUAAUACAGAGGUCUCAAGCGUUGUUCGGAAGCACUGGGCGUAAAGCGUGCGUAGGCGGUUUCGUAAGUCCGGUGUGAAAGGUGCGGGCUCAACCCGCGGACGGCACAUGCUACUGCGAGACUAGAGAGAUGGAGGGGGAGCCGGAAUUCUCGGUGUAGCAGUGAAAUGCGUAGAGAUC